This 385-nucleotide ribosomal RNA is filed under the name uncultured bacterium. Its description in RNAcentral is "bacterial SSU rRNA". It matches the Rfam family "Bacterial small subunit ribosomal RNA", at positions 29 to 437 of the family's 1533-position model. The record is from RNAcentral.
AGCGAACGCUGGCGGCAGGCUUAACACAUGCAAGUCGAACGCUCCUAGCAAUAGGGGAGUGGCAGACGGGUGAGUAACGCGUGGGAACGUACCCUUUGGUUCGGAAUAACUCAGGGAAACUUGAGCUAAUACCGGAUAAGCCCCGUAAGGGGGAAAGAUUUAUCGCCGAAGGAUCGGCCCGCGUCCGAUUAGCUAGUUGGUGUGGUAAUGGCGCACCAAGGCGACGAUCGGUAGCUGGUCUGAGAGGAUGAUCAGCCACACUGGGACUGAGACACGGCCCAGACUCCUACGGGAGGCAGCAGUGGGGAAUAUUGGACAAUGGGGGCAACCCUGAUCCAGCCAUGCCGCGUGAGUGAUGAAGGCCUUAGGGUUGUAAAGCUCUUUC